GACGUAGGGGGCGAGCGUUGUCCGGAUUCAUUGGGCGUAAAGAGCGCGUAGGCGGCCCGGAAAGUGGGGUGUGAAAACCAGAGGCUCAACCUCUGGCCUGCAUCCGAUACUGCCCGACUAGAGGUAGGUAGGGGAGAUCGGAAUUCCUGGUGUAGCGGUGAAAUGCGCAGAUAUCAGGAGGAACACCGGUGGCGAAGGCGGAUCUCUGGGCCUUACCUGACGCUGAGGCGCGAAAGCUAGGGGAGCAAACAGG
This 253-nucleotide ribosomal RNA is filed under the name uncultured bacterium. Its description in RNAcentral is "partial 16S ribosomal RNA". It matches the Rfam family "Bacterial small subunit ribosomal RNA", at positions 524 to 776 of the family's 1533-position model. The record is from RNAcentral.